CAGUAAACGGCGGCCGUAACUAUAACGGUCCUAAGGUAGCGAAAUUCCUUGUCGGUUAAAUACCGACCUGCAUGAAUGGCGUAACGAGAUGGGAGCUGUCUCAAAGAGGGAUCCAGUGAAAUUGUAGUGGAGGUGAAAAUUCCUCCUACCCGCGGCAAGACGGAGAGACCCCGUGGACCUUUACUAUAGCUUGACACUGCUACUUGGAUAAAGAUGCGCAGGAUAGGUGGGAGGCUUCGAUUCGUAGAUCUCGGUUUACGAUGAGCCAUUGUUGAGAUACCACUCUUCUUUAUUCGGGUAGCUAACUAGCCUAAGUUAUCCUUAGGUAGGACAAUGUCUGGUGGGUAGUUUGACUGGGGCGGUCGCCUCCCAAAAUGUAACGGAGGCUUACAAAGGUUGGCUCAGAACGGUUGGAAAUCGUUCGCAGAGUAUAAAGGCAAAAGCCAGCUUAACUGCGAGACAUACACGUCGAGCAGAGACGAAAGUCGGUCUUAGUGAUCCGGUGGUUCUGUGUGGAAGGGCCAUCGCUCAAAGGAUAAAAGGUACCCCGGGGAUAACAGGCUGAUCUCCCCCAAGAGCUCACAUCGACGGGGAGGUUUGGCACCUCGAUGUCGGCUCAUCGCAUCCUGGGGCUGUAGUCGGUCCCAAGGGUUGGGCUGUUCGCCCAUUAAAGCGGUACGCGAGCUGGGUUCAGAACGUCGUGAGACAGUUCGGUCCCUAUCUGCCGUGGGCGUAAGAAGAUUGAGGAGAGUUGACCCUAGUACGAGAGGACCGGGUUGAACCGACCACUGGUGUACCGGUUGUUCUGCCAAGAGCACCGCCGGGUAGCUAAGUCGGGAUGCGAUAAGAGCUGAAAGCAUCUAAGCUCGAAGCCGACUCCAAGAUGAAUCUUCUUUUAAGAGCUCUAGUAGACUACUAGUUUGAUAGGCCGGAUGUGUAAUGGAUGAAAGUCCUUUAGCUGACCAGUACUAAUAGCUCGUCUGCUUAUCUUU
Molecule: ribosomal RNA, 992 nt
Filed under: human oral metagenome
Description: bacterial LSU rRNA
Rfam family: Bacterial large subunit ribosomal RNA
Source: RNAcentral